Molecule: ribosomal RNA, 253 nt
Filed under: uncultured bacterium
Lineage: Bacteria
Description: partial 16S ribosomal RNA
Rfam family: Bacterial small subunit ribosomal RNA
Source: RNAcentral
CACGAAGGGGGCUAGCGUUGCUCGGAAUCACUGGGCGUAAAGCGCACGUAGGCGGAUCUUUAAGUCAGGGGUGAAAUCCUGGAGCUCAACUCCAGAACUGCCUUUGAUACUGGGGAUCUCGAGUCCGGAAGGGGUGAGUGGAACUCCGAGUGUAGAGGUGAAAUUCGUAGAUAUUCGGAAGAACACCAGUGGCGAAGGCGGCUCACUGGUCCGGUACUGACGCUGAGGUGCGAAAGCGUGGGGAGCAAACAGG